Molecule: ribosomal RNA, 164 nt
Filed under: uncultured Tomentella
Lineage: Eukaryota; Fungi; Basidiomycota; Agaricomycetes; Thelephorales; Thelephoraceae
Description: 5.8S ribosomal RNA
Rfam family: 5.8S ribosomal RNA
About the family: 5.8S ribosomal RNA (5.8S rRNA) is a component of the large subunit of the eukaryotic ribosome.
Source: RNAcentral
UACAAUACAACUUUCAGCAACGGAUCUCUUGGCUCUCGCAUCGAUGAAGAACGCAGCGAAAUGCGAUAAGUAAUGUGAAUUGCAGAAUUCAGUGAAUCAUCGAAUCUUUGAACGCACCUUGCGCCCUUUGGCUAUUCCGAAGGGCAUGCCUGUUUGAGUAUCAU